Molecule: ribosomal RNA, 843 nt
Filed under: uncultured marine bacterium
Lineage: Bacteria
Description: bacterial SSU rRNA
Rfam family: Bacterial small subunit ribosomal RNA
Source: RNAcentral
GAGUUUGAUCNUGGCUCAGGAUGAACGCUGGCGGCGUGCNUAAUACAUGCAAGUCGAGCGGUAAGGCUUUCACAGAUUAUUUGAACGGAACAGUCCAAUGCAUUUGGAUACUUUCUUUCAACGAACACUCCCGGCUAGGAGAAGUUCGGUCGAAUAAUGCGUGAAAGUACACGAGCGGCGGACGGCUGAGUAACGCGUAGGAACGUACCCCAAAGUGAGGAAUAAGCACCGGAAACGGUGUCUAAUGCCGCAUGUGGUCUACGGACUAAAGGAUUUAUCCGCUUUGGGAGCGGCCUGCGUAUGAUUAGCUUGUUGGUGAGGUAACGGCUCACCAAGGCGACGAUCAUUAGCUGGUCUGAGAGGAUGAUCAGCCAGACUGGGACUGAGACACGGCCCAGACUCCUACGGGAGGCAGCAGUAGGGAAUUUUCCACAAUGGACGAAAGUCUGAUGGAGCAACGCCGCGUGCAGGAUGAAUGCCUUCGGGUUGUAAACUGCUUUUAUGGGUGAAGAUUUAAGAUGGUAACCCAAGAAUAAGGGACGGCUAACUACGUGCCAGCAGCCGCGGUCAUACGUAGGUCCCAAGCGUUAUCCGGAAUUACUGGGCGUAAAGAGUUGUGUAGGUGGUUUAUUAAGCAAGGUGUGAAAUCGUGCGGCUCAACCGUAUAACCAUACUUUGAACUGGUAGACUAGAGCGUGAGAGAGGUUACUAGAAUUUCUAGUGUAGGAGUGAAAUCCGUAGAUAUUAGAAGGAAUACCGAUGGCGUAGGCAGGUAACUGGCUCAUUGCUGACACUCAGACACGAAAGCGUGGGUAGCAAACGGGAUUAGAUACCCUGGUAGUC